GACGAACGCUGGCGGCAGGCUUAACACAUGCAAGUCGAGCGGAGAUGAGGUGCUUGCACAUUAUCUUAGCGGCGGACGGGUGAGUAAUGCUUAGGAAUCUGCCUAUUAGUGGGGGACAACAUUCCGAAAGGAAUGCUAAUACCGAAUACGCCCUACAGGGGAAAGCAGGGGAUCUUCGGACCUGGCGCUAAUAGAUGAGCCUAAGUCGGCUUAGCUAGUUGGUGGGGUAAAGUCCUACCAAGGCGACGAUCUGUCGCGUGUCUGAGAGGAUGCUCCGCCACACUGGGACUCAGACACGGCCCAGACUCCGACGGGAGACAGCUGUGUGGAAUAUUGGACAGUGGGCGUAGGCCUCAUCCAGCCUUGCCGCGUGUGUGAAGAAGGCCUUUUGGUUGUAAAGCACUUUAAGCGAGGAGGAGGCUACCUGGAUUAAUACUCUAGGAUAGUGUACGUUACUCGCAGAAUAAGCACCGGCUAACUCUGUGCCAGCAGCCGCCGUAA
Molecule: ribosomal RNA, 501 nt
Filed under: uncultured bacterium
Lineage: Bacteria
Description: partial 16S ribosomal RNA
Rfam family: Bacterial small subunit ribosomal RNA
Source: RNAcentral